Molecule: ribosomal RNA, 482 nt
Filed under: uncultured bacterium
Lineage: Bacteria
Description: partial 16S ribosomal RNA
Rfam family: Bacterial small subunit ribosomal RNA
Source: RNAcentral
AUUGAACGCUGGCGGCAUGCUUUACACAUGCCAGUCGAACGGUAACAGGCCGCAAGUUGCUGACGAGUGGUGAACGGGUGAGUAAUGCAUCGGAACGGGUCCAGUCGUUGGGGAUAACUACUCGAUUGAGGAACUAGUACCUCAUACGAUCUAUGGAUGAAAACGGGGUACUUCAAGGCCGCGCGCGAUUGGAGCGGCCGAUGUCAGAUUAGUUAGUUGGUGAGGUAACGGCUCACCAAGCCAACGAUCCCUAGCUGGUCUGAGAGGACGAGCAGCCACACUGGAACUGAGACACGGCCCAGACUCCUACGGGAGGCAGCAGUGGGGAAUUUUGGACAAUGGGCGCAAGCCUGAUCCAGCAAUGCCGCGUGCAGGAAGAAGGCCUUCGGGUUGUAAACUGCUUUUGUAAGGAACGAAACGGCUCUGGUUAAUACCCGGGGAUAAUGACGGUACCGUAAGAAUAAGCAACGGCUAACUACGUG